GAAUCCAGUGAGGGAAUACUCACAUUGAAUCCGGUGAGGGAAUACUCACAAUUUGAAAUUUGAAUCCGGUGAGGGAAUACUCACAUUGAAUCCGGUGAGGGAAUACUCACAAUUCGAAGUCUGAAAUCUGAAUAAGUUGAAUCUGAAGCUAUUAGUUAAUUUAGUUUAUUUUCGGGUUGAUUUGUAACAAGCUCAAAGCUUAGUACGCUUUAGCUUGAGGGGUAGUAUUAGAAAUAAAAUAUUUAGUUAGAGUAGUUUGAUUUUCGUUUU
This 270-nucleotide long non-coding RNA is filed under the name Trifolium pratense (red clover). Its description in RNAcentral is "long non-coding RNA (TPRA_LNC001511)". Lineage: Eukaryota; Viridiplantae; Streptophyta; Magnoliopsida; Fabales; Fabaceae. The record is from RNAcentral.